RNAcentral lists this ribosomal RNA (251 nucleotides) under uncultured bacterium. Its description in RNAcentral is "partial 16S ribosomal RNA". It matches the Rfam family "Bacterial small subunit ribosomal RNA", at positions 88 to 339 of the family's 1533-position model. The record is from RNAcentral.
GAGUAGAGUGGCGCACGGGUGAGUAACACGUGGAUAACCUGCCCUAAGGUCUGGGAUAACAUUUCGAAAGGGAUGCUAAUACCGGAUAAGCCUACGACCUCCUCGGAGGAUGUAGGAAAAGAUUUAUUGCCUUAGGAUGGGUCCGCGGUCCAUUAGCUAGUUGGUAGGGUAAUGGCCUACCAAGGCUACGAUGGAUAGCUGGUCUGAGAGGAUGAUCAGCCACACUGGAACUGAGACACGGUCCAGACUCC